UCUUGGCCUGGCUCUCAAUUCACUGACUUCAAUAAAAAUCUUUCACAAGAUCAUGGAUUUAGAAUUGGAGUUUCCCCUGAAUAUUACAGAUAUUAAACCAUCAAUCAUCAAUCACCAUUUAUUAAUCACCCACUAUGUUCCAGGUAUUAUGUUAAGUGCUGGGGAUAAAAUAUGAAAAAAGAUAGUUCUGGCCUUCAAGGAGCUUACUAUCUAAUGGUGGAAGACUAAAAAGCAAAAGGAAGCUGAAAAUGAGUGUGGUAGAUGGGGGAAGUACCAGAUCCAGUGGCACGAUGGAGAAGGCUGUUCAUCCACCAUGGGUGUUUACCUGCUCCUCAGCUCCCACCUGUGACUCCAGAGAAGCUGUAGUACAUACGGUGGACACACUGGUAAACUGUCUCAGCUGACAGGCUGAACCAGGUUGUGACCAGUUUUGGACUCAGGGAGAUGUGUCUUCCUGAUUCUGGACCCAGCACGCUAUCCACUUCGCUACCUGGCUGCCCUGCCUGGCCCAUAGUAAUCUCAAUCAAUAUUGGUAGACUAUUGGACUGAUUAAAUAACUCAUGUCAAAUUCCUGCACUGUCAUUUUCCAUUAACCGACAGAAUUCUUAAACAUGUUUUGAAUGAAUGUGCUUUCAGGCUCUCCGUUGGAUGAGAAAUGUCAAGUGACAUUUAAAAGUCUUUUAGGCUCAUCCCUAAGUUUGGCCUUGAAAUGAAGUUCUGUCAUUAACUACUCUAUAGAGGGCAUUAUGGUACUUCAGGUAAAACAAAAACAGUUGAUGAAAGAAAUGUUCCUUUGCAUAGUGUUUAUCUGAGAGCCCAUAAGAGUUUCCAAAGAACUUUUCACAGCUUGCCAAGAAAGAUUUCUGUUUUGCAAAAUCCUCAUUACAAAAAUUCUAUUUAAAUAUCAUGGCAAUAUUCCUCAGAUGAAAGGUACAGCAUUAUCCAGAAAAUGGAAAUAUAAAAUGAUUUAGAAUGCAACCUUCAGGGCAUAUUCCUUCAGCUUCAUGCCUGAGGGUUUGUGGAACUCCCCACAAAUGUCUCCACCACCAACAAAUAAAGUUAGAAGCUUCAAGAUGCUAUUUUUUGAG
This 1088-nucleotide long non-coding RNA is filed under the name Monodelphis domestica (gray short-tailed opossum). Its description in RNAcentral is "lncRNA (ENSMODG00000031011.2)". The record is from RNAcentral. Lineage: Eukaryota; Metazoa; Chordata; Mammalia; Didelphimorphia; Didelphidae.